AUGUCCAUGAACGGAAAAAUAAAGAAAAUAUCGAGAAGAAAGUAUCAAGUACCUGUGGAAAGCACACCUGCUCUCAAAAAGGAUGGAGGACUAGGCCUCGCGCUUGCGCAUCAGGUGCCCCUGACCAGGAGCGAGAUCUCGCGGGAUCUCAGGCAAGUGUCGAGUUACCCACAAGGCUGUGCCUCGGGACCGGAAGCACCGCUGGGACCUGGAGUUUUGAGACCCGGCGCCAGGCCCUGCCCUGACCGCGUGAGGUGGGCGAGGUGUGAUGGCCGGGAUGGUGUGAAGAGACGGUCAGAAGUCCGAGGAAAAGAGGUCCGCUCUGUCAUGGAGUUCGUGGGGGCGCUGAGGGUGCAUUUUGCAAUUAGUUCUGCCCCAAAACUGCCUGCAGCCCGGCCCCUCCCUCGCCGUGCAGCGCGGCCCCCUGUCAUCUUAGGGUUUUGCCGCCGUCUCUCCUUCUGCUGGCCUCGCGUAUCUCCGCGCCGCCUGGCUCACUCGGGAUGUCUGCCGAAAAGCCGGCGCAGCAGGCUGGUCUCCAAGGAUGUGCAAGAGCAGCUGUGGACUAUAACUGAGAGGAGUUAUCUUUGCAUUUUUCAUUGUUGCUUGGGAGAAGAAGUUAUCAAGAAACAAGAAAAUAAUUAGGGUAAGGUGAUGCUAGAGCUUCUACUGUAGCAUAAUAUCUAACCCUUUAUACUAUGUGAUGUAACCUAAAUAGUGACAAGUCCUAUAAAGAAAGUAUGUCUGGGAUAAAGAAAAAAGGAAAAUGGAUCUGUGGGUGAGUCUUUAGUUCAAAAGAAAGAGACUGUGAUAGUGAUAAGGACUAGAGUGUUAGUUGUAGAGCUGAUAAAUAAUGUUUAUAAUUUGAAAGAUUGGCUUAGUAUGUGGUAUGAUAAAGAGAUAAAUCAAGAACUAAUCUCAGGUUUUUGGCCUGAGCACAUGGAUACAUAGUGUUGCUCUUUCCUGAGGUGGGAAAGACGAUAUAAGGAUGGCCUAAAGCUGAAAGCAAGAAUUUUUUUUUUUAGAUUUUUUUUUUUUUUUUUGCAAUAUGUUAAGGUUUUGUAAAGACUGAAAAUUCAGUAUAAAGUAACAAAAAAUACUCAUAAAUGUAAUCAUUAUUUCUCAUUUUUCUCAUACAAUCCACCACUAUUACUAGAGUAACAAGAGUAGAACACAGUUUUACUGUAGAAAUUCUAAUUAUUUAACUGCUUAGAAAGAACAGAGGGACCAAGGAAUUUAAAACUGUUUCCUUGUCUACUUAUUCACAUUCGUUGCCAAGAGUGGUUUAAUAUCCAGAUGCUUGAAAAGAGAAAAAAGAAAAAGAAAAAAAAUUCUCCAGUGUAUCUGAGACCUGACGAUGCAGCAACAUAUUUUCAUCUUUGCAUUUCAAACUAGUCUCUUAUAAAGCCUCAUUCACACUGUUUAAAAAUAGAUAUCUCUUCAGUUAAAACUUUUGCUGUACUGUAUUUAGCAUAGUUAUAUAUUUUCUGCCCACAUUUAAUUCCACUCUGUCUCUAAUUUACAUUUUAACAAGAUCAUUCCGGCAAUUGCUGCUGGAUAAUACAUUGGAGUUCCAAGAGUGAAGGCAUAGACUCACACCUGAGGCUGUCGGAGUGGUUGAGAGGGAAAUAUCAGAAAAUAGUUCAUUUAAUGAUGACACUGCAGAGGUGGAGAAUUUCAAUACAGUUAGUGAUCAUUUGGGUGUGGGUGGUAAAGACAGAAAGGAAUUAAGGAUGGAUGGCUCCAUAUUUUUGAACUCGAAAAACAGAAUAGAUGAGAGAAAACUUUAUAGAUACAUUAAAUUUAAAGACUCUCUACAAAUGGAACUUAAUUGCUCAUUUGGCAUUUCACAUUUCAAAGGACACACUGAAAGGGGAUUUGAAAAGAAAACAGCAAACAUCUUGAAUCUUGAUUGGCUUGAAAAGUAUUUUUAUGGAUUAUUUCUUUCUAUUUUCAUUUAUUUCUGUAAAUGUCUUUUGGAAGAAAUAAACAUGUUUCAUAGGUAUCUGUAUUAUUCA
Molecule: long non-coding RNA, 2015 nt
Organism: Vulpes vulpes (red fox)
Lineage: Eukaryota; Metazoa; Chordata; Mammalia; Carnivora; Canidae
Source: Ensembl